This 496-nucleotide ribosomal RNA is filed under the name uncultured bacterium. Its description in RNAcentral is "partial 16S ribosomal RNA". It matches the Rfam family "Bacterial small subunit ribosomal RNA", at positions 29 to 507 of the family's 1533-position model. The record is from RNAcentral.
AUGAACGCUGGCGGCGUGCCUAAUACAUGCAAGUCGAGCGAACGGACGAGAAGCUUGCUUCUCUGAUGUUAGCGGCGGACGGGCGAGUAACACGUGGAUAACCUACCUAUAAGACUGGGAUAACUUCGGGAAACCGGAGCUAAUACCGGAUGAUAUUUUGAACCGCAUGGUUCAAAAGUGAAAGACGGUCUUGCUGUCACUUAUAGAUGGAUCCGCGCUGCAUUAGCUAGUUGGUAAGGUAACGGCUUACCAAGGCAACGAUGCAUAGCCGACCUGAGAGGGUGAUCGGCCACACUGGAACUGAGACACGGUCCAGACUCCUACGGGAGGCAGCAGUAGGGAAUCUUCCGCAAUGGGCGAAAGCCUGACGGAGCAACGCCGCGUGAGUGAUGAAGGUCUUCGGAUCGUAAAACUCUGUUAUUAGGGAAGAACAUAUGUGUAAGUAACUGUGCACAUCUUGACGGUACCUAAUCAGAAAGCCACGGCUAACUACGUG